Molecule: long non-coding RNA, 697 nt
Organism: Labeo rohita (rohu)
Lineage: Eukaryota; Metazoa; Chordata; Actinopteri; Cypriniformes; Cyprinidae
Exons: 6
Source: RefSeq, a predicted model, not a curated record
GGAGUACUCAAUGUAAUUAAUUUCGUUGUUAUUUUAGUGAACUACACGCUGCUCCCAGGGCAGGAGUACUCAAUGUAAUUAAUUUCGUUGUUAUUUUAGUGAACUACAGGCUGCUCUCAGGGCAGGAGUACUCAAGGUAAUUAAUUUCGUUGUUAUUUUAGUGAACUACGCGCUGCUCUCAGGGCAGGAGUACUCAAUGUAAUUAAUUUCGUUGUUAUUUUAGUGAACUACACGCUGCUCUCAGGGCAGGAGUACUCAAGGUAAUUAAUUUCGUUGUUAUUUUAGUGAACUACAGGCUGCUCUCAGGGCAGGAGUACUCAAGGUAAUUAAUUUCGUUGUUAUUUUAGUGAACUACAGGCUGCUCUCAGGGCAGGAGUACUCAAUGUAAUUAAUUUCGUUGUUAUUUUAGUGAACUACACGCUGCUCUCAGGGCAGGAGUACUCAAGCUACCUGGAGGAGUUGCAAAAUCUGGACAAAUCAAAGGAGCUAACACUGAAGAUCUGAUACUGCCGAGUCCAAAAUGGUGCAAAAAUGGAGAUGUAUGAAAAAUGAUGUCACCAGAUGAUGGAUCAGCACCUAGAGACGACCUCUACAUCCCUAAAUGUCCUAAAUGAGUCCUCUGCAAUCUGACUUUGCUGCAACAUGGAACUUUUGCAUUAUUGACACACUAUUGUCCUAUUAAAAACUGUAAAGUUGC